CGGGGUCGCUCACCGAAGAGGGAGUCGGCCAGCCAAGCCUCCAGGUAUCACUAAAGCAUCAUUUCUUCCCCUUCCCACAGGAAAUCAUUGUCCUGAAGCUGAUGCAAUGGAUCAUCAUUGUGACCACUAUGACAAAAACGAAAACAAUUAACAAUUAAUGUAAGAUGCUUUGGGACCAGGAAUCCUAAUUGUCCCACCCAGGCCAAGAGAACAAAUUCCGUAGACCAUGAGGAUCAAUCUUAGAGAGGCAAAUAACUUUUUCCUUCAGGCGUUAUAUAGCUUAUUCCACCUUGUCUGUUUCAUUGAUCCAAGCACAUCAACAAGGAUUAGCAACGGCACAGAUGCCGCCAAGAAUAGUCAAUAAGAAAUCUAGAGCAAUGCAGUUGUCCAUCACUACUCAUGCCAAUGAGUUGAGACUGAUCUUUACUCCAUCUAGGG
Molecule: long non-coding RNA, 438 nt
Organism: Diceros bicornis minor
Lineage: Eukaryota; Metazoa; Chordata; Mammalia; Perissodactyla; Rhinocerotidae
Exons: 3
Source: RefSeq, a predicted model, not a curated record